Molecule: microRNA, 22 nt
Filed under: Cervus elaphus (red deer)
Lineage: Eukaryota; Metazoa; Chordata; Mammalia; Artiodactyla; Cervidae
Description: PC-3p-54621
Source: RNAcentral
UAAAUCCGAACGAACUUUUUGG